GAACGAGAUGGGGCCGGGGAAGCGCCGAGCUUCGCUGCGGGGAUCCCCGGGGCUAGCAACUCGCCUCCCCAGUUUCUGCGUGGGCCCAGGGUCACGGAUUUGCCUUUUCCAAGAGAGAGCUCUUCGUGAAAGAAUGUGACUUGUGGCUUCUCUGGGACCGGACACUGUUGCACCCG
Molecule: long non-coding RNA, 176 nt
Filed under: Dasypus novemcinctus (nine-banded armadillo)
Lineage: Eukaryota; Metazoa; Chordata; Mammalia; Cingulata; Dasypodidae
Description: lncRNA (ENSDNOG00000051558.1)
Source: RNAcentral